ACGAACGCUGGCGGCGUGCUUAACACAUGCCAGUCGAACGGAAAGGCCCUGCUUUUGUGGGGUGCUCGAGUGGCGAACGGGUGAGUAACACGUGAGUAACCUGCCCUUGACUUUGGGAUAACUUCAGGAAACUGGGGCUAAUACCGGAUAGGAGCUCCUGCUGCAUGGUGGGGGUUGGAAAGUUUCGGCGGUUGGGGAUGGACUCGCGGCUUAUCAGCUUGUUGGUGGGGUAGUGGCUUACCAAGGCUUUGACGGGUAGCCGGCCUGAGAGGGUGACCGGCCACAUUGGGACUGAGAUACGGCCCAGACUCCUACGGGAGGCAGCAGUGGGGAAUAUUGCACAAUGGGCGGAAGCCUGAUGCAGCAACGCCGCGUGCGGGAUGACGGCCUUCGGGUGGUAAACCGCUUUCGCCUGUGACGAAGCGUGAGUGACGGUAAUGGGUAAAGAAACACCGGCUAACUACGU
RNAcentral lists this ribosomal RNA (466 nucleotides) under uncultured bacterium. RNAcentral's name for it is "partial 16S ribosomal RNA". It matches the Rfam family "Bacterial small subunit ribosomal RNA", at positions 29 to 506 of the family's 1533-position model. The record is from RNAcentral.